UAUUUACUUUCUAACUACACUCCUCUCUCACAUUCUGUUUACCUUUUCCAUUCUUUCCCAACUUGUCUCUACUUUUCUUCUUUCGUGAAACUUUAUUCUGUUGAUUUCUAACGAAACCUCGAAUCUCUACUUCUCUUGGAACACAUGCCUAUGUGCUUUUUCCAAGUUAACCUAAUUUUUCCCAUCAACACAGUCUGAUUGCUUCUACAAGGAGUCUCAUUUCUCUAAACAUCAAUGCUCUCUACCAAUACCCCUCCUCCUACUAUCUCAUUAUGUCGUCUUCUCACCGCUUUGUUGCAUCGCCUUCUAAUUUCUUUACCGGCAUCCACCGUCUUCUCUUUCUCCUUCUAUUUCAUGUCGCCAAUGCCACUGUCACCACAACCGUCGCCACUAUCAUGUCUAUUUAUUGUCAUCAACGUAACAAAAAGUUUCAAUGAUUCAGAUCCAGAUCUGUAAAAGGUAAAAGAUACAAAGUUGUAUGGCUUUUUUCGUUUUCAGUAGUUUCAUUUUUUUAUUUAUUCAACAUCUCUUACAUUGAUUUUAUGGUUUUCAUUUGGUUUUAUGAUGAUUUUGUGGUUAGGUUUUUUGUGAUUGUGGUUGAUAUGAUGAUUUUGUGGCUAGGGUUUUUGUGAUUGUGGUUGAUAUAAUGAUUUUGUGGUUAAGGUUUUGGUUUUCCAUUAUUGAUUUCUCGCUUGGAUCUUGCAAAAUGGGGGUUCCUCUCUUAACAAUACCCUCUCUCUGCCAGUUUUGAUUCCAUUAAUGAGGUAUCAACCGAAGCAUCCUCCUAAUUGUAUCUUGCUUUGGCUUAUCACUUUGUCGAUCAGUUUCACCAUUGGAGUUACCUGUGCUAAUAUUAAUGAUAUAUGGAGUAAAGCCAACUGUAAGUACUGUUUUCAGUGGUGGCAAACCAGGUAAAUAUUAUUUUUCAUUUCUUUGUCAUUUUUGGCAUCUGUGAAGUGAUUUAUACGAAAUUCCUAUGUAAAAGACGAUAAAAAUUAUGCAGAACAAUGUUAUUUAUUACUCUCUUCUUAUGUCUUGAAACUGCUGGAAUCGAUGAAAUGCAGUUCAUUUGUUGAUAUUGGUACGUAGAUAAAACCAUUGAAACUGUUUCCAUGUCCACUUGACCAAUGCUACGAAUAUAUUUUGGCAAAAUUGUCAACUAGGAAAGCCUGAACGCCUGACUAUUGAUAGUUGGUAUUUCUUUAUUAUAUGAAUAUGAGCAUUAGACUAAUAGUUCAUUAGUUGCUUUGCAUUUUCAAAUACGUUUCAAUUUUGCAUUCACCACAAUUAUAUAUUCCUGAUUUGGCACAAAAACAACAAUGUUUAUGAAACAACUUAGCUAAAGGUAAGCUUUAAUGUUUUCUAUGCCAUUUCACUCUGCAAUUACUAUCUCAACAUCUUUUCUAUUGGAAGAAUCCAAAAGAAUAAAAGGCUAUUAUCAUUAUAAUCCCUAUGGCUCCUAUUUUUACUAUUGUUUCAUUUUUGGCUUUGAUGUAUAGUUACUUGAAUAUAUUUGUUAGUAGGAAUAUUGUGCCUGAUGAAAUUAAAGGAAGGUAAAUUCAUCACUCCUUUACGAUUCUGGUUUAGUUUUGGUUGAUUUUGGAGACUGGCUUGUUUUUAUGAAAUUCUUGUAUUAGUUAGUUGCGUUGUGUUGUGUUUGUUUAUUUUGUACCUAUAUUGGUUUGUUUAUUUUGUAUUUGUGCUGGUGUAUCUUCCGACAACAUAUCUUAUGUUGUUUCUUUAAUAUAAUUUUGUUUUGGCUUUUGAAAAAAGUUGAUUUAUUUAUUAAUAUAAUAAUAUUUCAUAAACAAUGGCUAUACUCAGAUUUAAUUUUCUUGUCAUAUUGCUGAUUUUGUUUGUCAAGCAGUAUGAAGUUCAUUUUGUUUGCCAAAUUAAUUUACGGUAUUGAGGUGGUUGAAGACUUGAGAAAUUUUAGGAGUUGAGAAGUUGAGGUUGAAUCUUAGAGCAGUUCAAGUUCAGAAUUGGAACAACGAUUUCAGAAAGCCAAAACAACUGUUGGGCUUGAUAGAGAGGCAAUGCUGAUAGGGUAUCACAUAGUAUGGAAAGAAAGUUGUUCCAAGACAAAUGUGUUUGUAUCUAUAUAUAGUGCUAACGUGCUAAUUUCAAAUAAUUUUAUCAUGUUCCAUUUUUUUCCUUCUUAGGUGCCACAAUGCAUUGAUAAACUUGCUCAAGCUGGCUUAAAGAUCUAGGUAUUGACAGGGGAUUAAAUGGAAACUGCACUCAAUAUUAGUGCAGAUAUUCAUGUAGUUUGCUUCGACAGUGUGAAGCAAAUUUGUAUAAUAUGUAUAGGAUUCAGUUAUCAAUGGUGGGAAAUAUGCAUUCAUUCACUAAUAUUUAAAAGAAAUUUUUAAUAUUUAGUCAUAGAUUUCAUCUAAUGUUAGGCAUACAUCUCAGGUAAUCAAAGGCAACAUCCUGACUCAAAUCACCAAUGCCUCACAAUUGAUGAAGCUGGAGAAUAGCAACCCCACCAACAAGUUUUCUAUUAUAGAAUAAGUUCAGUUUGAGUUUAUAUCUCAAGCUCUGUCUUAUAUUUUUUUCUAUUACAUAAUUUCAGGUGACAAUGAUCUUGACGUUAACGGGGCAACAAUACUCGGAGAAAGUUUCAAAAAAUUCAAUAGUCAUUUGGAAGUCUCUUGAAAUUUACACCGACAAAUAUGUUCCCAAAAUGGGGGUAUCCUCCAUUUAUCCAAUGAAAAUGAGGAUCUUUUUAUAAAGAGAGAAUUGCUAUGGCAAUUAGGAAAGAAGUAUAGUCAUGUAAAGUUUGAUUUUGAAUAUGAGUAGUAGGUUCUACCACACUAAAUUAUUAUUGUCAAAGUGUUGAUUUGAUCUCAUUCACCAAGAAGAAGGUGGAGGUACUUCCAUUGUCACAUGACUUUCUUGUGUCCUUUUUCUCAAGUAGUAGAAGCAUUGUUCAGUUGUAAAGUUACAAUUUUUUGUUUUUUUUUUUGUUUAUGAUAAGCAAGUUUCUGAUUAUUGUAAAGAAAUCCUUUUUUUCCUAUAGCUAUCAUUAGCUUCACAUUAAUCCUACUUGCAUACACAGACAGUUGACGCCAAUUAUGUCAAAAGCAAAAAACCCUCUAUAUCAACAUGUGUAAUAUCAUAGGUGUCAUUAUAUUUCAUAAAUGUCUUAGAGUGUAGGAUACCAAUUCAACAUGUUAUGGUUUUGAGGAACUAAGGAUACUGUGCAUAUGAUUUUGAGGAACUAAGGAUACUUUUUGAAACUAAACAUAACAACUGUUUCUGUUUUAGAAAAAUAAAUGAUUUUUCUUUUAUGUUUUUUCAAUACAUUAUAGGUUAGUAUAUAACUAAUAUAUAGUCUGUUCAGUUUGCACCGAUACUUUGCACUGAUACAUAAUU
Vicia villosa (hairy vetch) is the source of this 3378-nucleotide long non-coding RNA. RefSeq lists it as uncharacterized. The record is from RefSeq and is a predicted model, not a curated record. NCBI's taxonomy places the organism in Eukaryota, Viridiplantae, Streptophyta, Magnoliopsida, Fabales, Fabaceae. The transcript has 5 exons.